Molecule: ribosomal RNA, 253 nt
Filed under: uncultured bacterium
Lineage: Bacteria
Description: partial 16S ribosomal RNA
Rfam family: Bacterial small subunit ribosomal RNA
Source: RNAcentral
GACAGAGGUGCCGAGCGUUAGGCGGAAUCACUGGGCUUAAGGCGUGUGUAGGCGGGCGGGCAAGUACCUUGUGAAAUCCCACGGCUCAACCGUGGAACGGCUGGGUAUACUGCCUGUCUUGAGCCAACUAGGGGCGAGCGGAACAGACGGUGGAGCGGUGAAAUGCGUAGAUAUCGUCUGGAACGCCAAAGGUGAAAACAGCUCGCUGGGGUUGUGCUGACGCUGAGACACGAAAGCCAGGGGAGCGAACGGG